This 461-nucleotide long non-coding RNA is filed under the name Phoenix dactylifera (date palm). RNAcentral describes it as "long non-coding RNA (PDAC_LNC019234)". The record is from RNAcentral. Lineage: Eukaryota; Viridiplantae; Streptophyta; Magnoliopsida; Arecales; Arecaceae.
CGCCGUCGACGGGGAGGUCGAAGUUGUCGGCACAGGGGAGGAGAGGGCGGAGGCGGAGGUUUAGAGGAGAGGGCUCGAGAGGCGAAGAAUCCGAAGGAGAGGAGAGGGGAGAGACUCGAGAGAGACUGAGGGAGGGAAUAGAGCUCGGGCGGCACACAAACCCUAACCCUAAGUCCCUAACUAAGGAGAAGUCGCGGAUGGUGGAGUGUGGUCCUCAAGCUGCCACGGUCGCUGUCGACGGGGAGGCCAAAGUUGUCGGCACGGAGUAGGAGAGGGCGGAGGUCCGGAGGAGAGGAGAGAGACUCGAGAGAGACUGAGGCCUCACCUGAGGGAGGGAAUAGCUGAAUGGAGCUUGGGCGGCGCAGCACAAACCCUAAAUCCUAAGUCCUAACCCUAAGGGCUCGUUUGGUUCGCAGGAAAAGGAGGGGGGAAAGUGUGGUCAACGGGAAAGUAAUGAAAUG